GUGCUCACUUUGGCAGCAUGUAUACUAAAAUUGGAAUGAUACAAAGAAGAUUAGCAUGGCCCCUGCCCAAGGAUGACACGUAAAAUAAACUCUGCCAUAUAAAA
Small nuclear RNA from Heterocephalus glaber (naked mole-rat), 104 nucleotides. NCBI's taxonomy places the organism in Eukaryota, Metazoa, Chordata, Mammalia, Rodentia, Bathyergidae. The record is from Ensembl.